UUUCCGUAGGUGAACCUGCGGAAGGAUCAUUACUGAGUGAGGGCCCUCGGGGUCCAACCUCCCACCCGUGUUUAUUGUACCUAGUUGCUUCGUCGAGCCCGCCUCCCGCCGGGCGGGGUGCAUCUGCCCCGGUUCCGCUCUCACCGAAGACACCCUUUAACUCUGUCUGAAAUUUGCAGUCUGAACGAAAACUAAAUAAGUUAAAACUUUCAACAACGGAUCUCUUGGUUCCG
RNAcentral lists this unclassified non-coding RNA (233 nucleotides) under plant metagenome. RNAcentral's name for it is "partial contains small subunit ribosomal RNA, internal transcribed spacer 1, and 5.8S ribosomal RNA". The record is from RNAcentral.